RNAcentral lists this ribosomal RNA (300 nucleotides) under uncultured Oceanospirillales bacterium. RNAcentral describes it as "bacterial SSU rRNA". It matches the Rfam family "Bacterial small subunit ribosomal RNA", at positions 113 to 417 of the family's 1533-position model. Lineage: Bacteria; Pseudomonadati; Pseudomonadota; Gammaproteobacteria; Oceanospirillales. The record is from RNAcentral.
ACGCGUAAGAAUCUACCUUUCGGUGGGGGAUAGCCGGUGAAACCGGAUUAAUACCGCAUAAGCCCUACGGGGAAACGAGGCCACUUCUUGAAAGCUUCGACCGAUAGAUGAGCCUGCGUUAGAUUAGCUAGUUGGUAGGGUAAUGGCCUACCAAGGCGACGAUCUAUAGCUGGUCUGAGAGGAUGAUCAGCCACACUGGAACUGAGACACGGUCCAGACUCCUACGGGAGGCAGCAGUGGGGAAUAUUGGACAAUGGGCGCAAGCCUGAUCCAGCAAUACCGCGUGCGUGAAGAAGGGUU